ACAACAUAAAGUGUUUUACUGGCUGUGUAUUUAUCAAGAUUGAUGCUGAACUAACAGUGAAGUCCAAAAGGUUCACAUCAGCACCAUAACAACAUCUAUAUCCAGUUCUACCCACCAGGUUGGUCAACGGUUCCACCAACUAUUCCAAAAGGGUUGCAGUCAGGGAAGGGGUAGGAGUGGGGGGAUUUAAAUUGUAUACAAUGUGUUAAACAGUUACACUCUGCAAAGC
This is a non-coding RNA of Pelobates cultripes (western spadefoot toad), 229 nucleotides long. NCBI's taxonomy places the organism in Eukaryota, Metazoa, Chordata, Amphibia, Anura, Pelobatidae. The record is from the annotation of a GenBank genome assembly.